This 460-nucleotide ribosomal RNA is filed under the name uncultured bacterium. RNAcentral describes it as "partial 16S ribosomal RNA". It matches the Rfam family "Bacterial small subunit ribosomal RNA", at positions 338 to 795 of the family's 1533-position model. The record is from RNAcentral.
CCUACGGGUGGCAGCAGUGAGGAAUAUUGGUCAAUGGGCUUACGCCUGAACCAGCCAAGUCGCGUGAGGGAAGACUGCCCUAUGGGUUGUAAACCUCUUUUGUCAGGGAGCAACGCCGGCUACGUGUAGCCGGACUGAGAGUACCUGAAGAAAAAGCAUCGGCUAACUCCGUGCCAGCAGCCGCGGUAAUACGGAGGAUGCGAGCGUUAUCCGGAUUUAUUGGGUUUAAAGGGUGCGCAGGCGGAGGUGCAAGUCAGCGGUCAAAUUGCGGGGCUCAACCCCGUACUGCCGUUGAAACUGCAUCCCUUGAGUGCGCGAGAAGUAUGCGGAAUGCGUGGUGUAGCGGUGAAAUGCUUAGAGAUCAUACAGAACACCGAUUGCGAAGGCAGCUUACCAAGCUACUUCUGACGUUGAGGCACGAAAGCGUGGGGAGCAAACAGGAUUAGAUACCCGAGUAGUC